This 460-nucleotide ribosomal RNA is filed under the name uncultured bacterium. RNAcentral describes it as "partial 16S ribosomal RNA". It matches the Rfam family "Bacterial small subunit ribosomal RNA", at positions 338 to 795 of the family's 1533-position model. The record is from RNAcentral.
CCUACGGGGGGCAGCAGUGGGGAAUAUUGGUCAAUGGACGCAAGUCUGAACCAGCCAUGCCGCGUGCAGGAAGACGGCUCUAUGAGUUGUAAACUGCUUUUGUACGAGGGUAAACGCAGAUACGCGUAUCUGACUGAAAGUAUCGUACUAAUAAGGUUCGGCUAACUCCGUGCCAGCAGCCGCGGGAAUACGGAGGAUUCAAGCCUUUUCCGGAUUUAUUGGUUUUAAAGGGUGCGUAGGCGGUCUGAUAAGUUAGAGGUGAAAUCCCGAGGCUCAACUUCGGAAUUGCCUCUGAUACUGUUCGGCUAGAGAGUAGUUGCGGUAGGCGGAAUGUAUGGUGUAGCGGUGAAAUGCUUAGAGAUCAUACAGAACACCGAUUGCGAAGGCAGCUUACCAAGCUACUUCUGACGUUGAGGCACGAAGGCGUGGGGAGCAAACAGGAUUAGAUACCCGAGUAGUC